This 85-nucleotide transfer RNA is filed under the name Felis catus (domestic cat). It matches the Rfam family "tRNA". Rfam says of the family: Transfer RNA (tRNA) molecules are approximately 80 nucleotides in length. Their secondary structure includes four short double-helical elements and three loops (D, anti-codon, and T loops). Lineage: Eukaryota; Metazoa; Chordata; Mammalia; Carnivora; Felidae. The record is from Rfam by way of RNAcentral.
GCCUGGGUGGCUCAGUUGGUUGAGCGUCUGACUUCAGCUCAGGUCAUGAUUUCACAGUUUGUGAGUUCGAGCCCUGCAUCAGGCU